Molecule: ribosomal RNA, 476 nt
Filed under: uncultured bacterium
Lineage: Bacteria
Description: bacterial SSU rRNA
Rfam family: Bacterial small subunit ribosomal RNA
Source: RNAcentral
UAACACAUGCAAGUCGAACGGUAACACGAAGGAGCUUGCUCCUUGGCUGACGAGCGGCGGACGGGUGAGUAAUGCCUGGGAAUCUGCCCGAUGGAGGGGGAUAACUACUGGAAACUGUAGCUAAUACCGCAUAACGUCUACGGACCAAAGAGGGGGAUCUUCGGACCUCUUGCUAUCGGAUGAGCCCAGGUGGGAUUAGCUAGUUGGUGGGGUAACGGCUCACCUAGGCGACGAUCCCUAACUGGUUUGAGAGAAUGACCAGCCACACUGGAACUGAGACACGGUCCAGACUCCUACGGGAGGCAGCAGUGGGGAAUAUUGCACAAUGGGCGCAAGCCUGAUGCAGCCAUGCCGCGUGUNUGAAGAAGGCCUUCGGGUUGUAAAGUACUUUCAGCGGGGAGGAAGGGAGNNAAGUUAAUACCUUUGUCAUUGACGUUACNCGCAGAAGAAGCACCGGCUAACUCCGUGCCAGCAGC